UAUAACUCCUAGUUUCAGCAAUAUAUUGUGGUGAUUCUGUAUAUAACAAUCUUGCCAGUUAUAGAGGUUUUGUUUUUAACAAUUUGAUUGUUAUUAUGUGAUAAUCAGCAUUUUUGUAUAGUUUUUGUUUGUUGAUUUAAUUAUAAGCAAUAGAAUUAUUAAUCAUGUUGAUACCUCGACAAACUAACUGGUUCAUGUGCUCACGGCCUUCCUGUAAGAUAAUCAUAUCAGAUUUUUUGGUUUUGUUUUAUUGUGUAUAAAUAUUUGAUUUCAAACAAAAUUGUCAUUGUUAAUUGUUUAAAAUACUUGAUAUAAACCUAACUGUCAAUGUCAGUUUUCGAGAGUUUUCUAUGAAACAACCACCUCAUGUUGUUGUCUUAGCUUUGUUUUGUUAUCGAGGUAGAACCCAAGAUUAUCAAUGGCAGAAACGGAAUCACCCGAACGUCUGUGUAGGUGACGUUUUUGUUACCUGUCAAUGAAAUAUAUAAAGUUUUUUCGAUAGCUUUUGAAAUUUUCAUUACAACUUUUUCAAUUUUGAAACAUUUAUUAUAGAACAGAAAGUUUUGACAUUUUUAGGGAUAAUAUUUAGUAAAACCGAAGGAAGAACACUCAUGCAAACUAAUAGCGUCAAAUUGGCUUUAAUCGUCUGACUGAACUCAAAGGGCGAAUUCAAAAAGAAGACAACAAUAAAAACUGACGAAAUCAAAUGGUAUGAACAAAACGGGUGAAAAUAAGUGUUAUUUGUGGAAACAUUACUUGUGUUCGAUUUUUACUAGAUGAGAUGUGGUAUGAAACCUAUAUUUAUUUGGUAUUACAUUUAGACCAAUUCAUUCUAAACAUAUAGUUACUUAAAGAAGGACGUUACAAAAACCACAGUGAAGAAGAGUAUUCAUUUCCACGUAAAGAAGGAUAACUCUGCCACAUAUAUAGAUAUUGAUUUCCUUUAAAACAAAUACAUAAAGUUACAAUUUUUAAAGUAUUUUGCAAAUAUUUAUAUAGAUGAAAUCAAAUUAUUUUUAUAUUAGGAAACAAAUGCUUCAUUAUUCUAGUGUCAAAAUGAUUAUUUAAACAUUAUUCAAAGACUUUACUCAUUUAAUCGAGUAAAAAAAUACAAUAUGUAACUGACAUUUUUCUAUUAUUUACCAUUAUCCAGUAUGGUUACCUCGUUUUUUUUUAGUUUUAUGAUUUAUAACUUUGUACUUGAAGAUAUAAGAGCAAUGACUCGAAUUUGAUAGUAAAUGACUAAACUCUUCUUAGAACGUGCAUUUCAUCUCCACCAAAUUUUCGAACCACCGAAGCAGCGUCUGUAAUUUUCCUUAUUAUGUCUGUUUGUAAUUGAAAUAUAUAAAGUUAAAGUUGGUCGUUUUCAAUUCAGAACAAGGAUCUUUUAAUUUCAAUUUUGAGAGCAGUCAGCGUUUCCUUGGUAUUUGGUAUCAAGUUAAUUCAGAAAUUAUAAUGAUUAUUUAAAUUCUAACACUCAAUUGUCUACCUCUUUUCUAAGUUCAUUUAUUUAGUUACCAUACCCAAGAUUUUUGUCUUUUAUUUUGUUUAGUCACGAUCUUGAUUUUUCCGUUGCCCAAACUAUAAAAGUUUGAUUGAAUUGGGUAUUAUAUAUUAUUGUGACAUUUGAUGUAUAAAUCUAUUCUUUAAAUAUACCAUUAUUCAUCUAUGCUGAACAAACCAGUAUCUUUCCAAAUUAAACAUAUUCAAAUACAUUGAAGAGGACAACAGUUAGGUCUAUGUUAAUUUAAGACAUAAGAAACUAGGUAUAUGAGAGCAUAUUGUGUAUAAAAUUCACCUGGGCAAGUUGUGUAGAUUAUUAAAAUGAUUUUGUUAUAUGAUUAUCUAAUAUUUGCAUUUAAUGAAUGAAACAAAUCAGCUGAGAUGACAAGGCAAAGUAAAGAUGAUUCUUAUUUUAUGAAUGAUAAUGAUGCUGGUAAAUCGGCUUUGACAAUUCUGAUUCAAUUUUUUUAAGGAGGUUUGUUAAACAUUUCUUUUAUUAAAAAAGAACGUAUUUAAUUAAACAUACACUACAUUUAAUUUGUUAACGAAUUGUUCUUAUAAAACGAUGUUUUAUUCCUCAUCUUCUUACAAGUAUCUUUUGAUUAAGACAUCAAUAUUUAUUUAUUAAAAAUCACAAC
This 2141-nucleotide long non-coding RNA is filed under the name Mytilus galloprovincialis (Mediterranean mussel). Lineage: Eukaryota; Metazoa; Mollusca; Bivalvia; Mytilida; Mytilidae. The record is from RNAcentral.